Non-coding RNA from Pelobates cultripes (western spadefoot toad), 254 nucleotides. The record is from the annotation of a GenBank genome assembly. NCBI's taxonomy places the organism in Eukaryota, Metazoa, Chordata, Amphibia, Anura, Pelobatidae.
ACAAAACAUAUACAUUCUACCUAUCCCCAGAUAGCUUAGAUCUGAGCGCACAAAAGUACCGAAUAGCGCUCAGAUGCUAUGCACACAGUCCAAUCGCCGUGGAGUUAAAGUGUUCACAAAGUCUGUUCUCCAUACGAAUAGACUCCACGGGAUGGCUAUCUGGGGUAAUGCUGUUCAUACAGUUUAAACUACCGAAUGAACAGGCAUCUGGUUAAAUGACCGAAUCCAGAAGCAAGGAGGCCGACGGCUCAGCG